GUUUAUUUUAUUACAUACAAAAGAGGUAAAAUAUGGCAGGAAUUUUCAAUUUGGUUUGUGCUAUGGUCCUCUUUCUUUCAUUGUUUAUUGUUCUAACAAACGUCCAUGGAAAAUGCAACACUGACGAUAAUUGUCCAGAUUAUAUGUGUUCGGGUCCUAAAGUUGGAAAGUGUAUUUAUAAUAUUUGUUACUGCAUUAAUAGGUAAGAAGAACAAAACAAUGCAAAUCAUUAGCCGUAAAACAAAUUUUGGAUUAUAUAUCGUCCAACACAAAUAAAACAAUGUAUUUUUAAUACAUUAACAUUUUUUUUAUCAAGUAGUUAGAAUUCACUUUUUUCAAGAUUAAUAAGUGGAAUGUCCGUAGUUCGAACCCCAAUCUCCUGUUUAUCAUAAUGCAUGUUCCUGCCAACUGAGUUAUGCUAGCGGGGACUAUAUUAACAUUUAUAAUAUAUAAUAUUAUAGAAUGUAUGUAUUUAUCUAGAUUAAAUAUGUUUUUUACUCCAAUAAAUUUGUUAUUCGAAUCUAAUUUCUCAAAAGA
Long non-coding RNA from Medicago truncatula (barrel medic), 537 nucleotides. RefSeq lists it as uncharacterized. The record is from RefSeq and is a predicted model, not a curated record. The transcript has 3 exons. Lineage: Eukaryota; Viridiplantae; Streptophyta; Magnoliopsida; Fabales; Fabaceae.